Molecule: transfer RNA, 73 nt
Filed under: Chloroflexota bacterium
Lineage: Bacteria; Bacillati; Chloroflexota
Also listed under: 3 other names
Description: Chloroflexi bacterium (permafrost metagenome) tRNA-Thr
Rfam family: tRNA
About the family: Transfer RNA (tRNA) molecules are approximately 80 nucleotides in length.
Source: RNAcentral
GCCACCAUAGCUCAGUUGGUAGAGCAGACGUUUCGUAAACGCCAGGUCAAGAGUUCAACUCUCUUUGGUGGCU